Molecule: ribosomal RNA, 404 nt
Filed under: Bacillota bacterium
Lineage: Bacteria; Bacillati; Bacillota
Description: Firmicutes bacterium partial 16S ribosomal RNA
Rfam family: Bacterial small subunit ribosomal RNA
Source: RNAcentral
UGGGGAAUAUUGGACAAUGGGCGCAAGCCUGAUCCAGCCAUGCCGCGUGAGUGAUGAAGGCCUUAGGGUUGUAAAGCUCUUUCACUGGGGAAGAUAAUGACGGUACCCAGAGAAGAAGCCCCGGCUAACUUCGUGCCAGCAGCCGCGGUAAUACGAAGGGGGCUAGCGUUGUUCGGAAUCACUGGGCGUAAAGUGCACGUAGGCGGACUUUUAAGUCAGGGGUGAAAUCCCAAGGCUCAACCUUGGAACUGCCUUUGAUACUGGAAGUCUUGAGUUCGGGAGAGGUGAGUGGAACUGCGAGUGUAGAGGUGAAAUUCGUAGAUAUUCGAAAGAACACCAGUGGCGAAGGCGGCUCACUGGCCCGAUACUGACGCUGAGGUGCGAAAGCGUGGGGAGCAAACAGG